RNAcentral lists this ribosomal RNA (460 nucleotides) under uncultured bacterium. Its description in RNAcentral is "partial 16S ribosomal RNA". It matches the Rfam family "Bacterial small subunit ribosomal RNA", at positions 338 to 795 of the family's 1533-position model. The record is from RNAcentral.
CCUACGGGUGGCAGCAGUGAGGAAUAUUGGUCAAUGGGCGUAAGCCUGAACCAGCCAAGUCGCGUGAGGGAUGAAGGUUCUAUGGAUCGUAAACCUCUUUUAUAAGGGAAUAAAGUGCGGGACGUGUCCCGUUUUGUAUGUACCUUAUGAAUAAGGAUCGGCUAACUCCGUGCCAGCAGCCGCGGUAAUACGGGGGGUGCAAGCGUUGUCCGGAAUCAUUGGGCGUAAAGAGUUCGUAGGCGGCACGUAAAGUCUGGUGUUAAAGGCAGAGGCUCAACUUCUGUACGGCACUGGAUACUUGCGAGCUAGAAUGCGGUAGAGGUAAAGGGAAUUCCUGGUGUAGCGGUGAAAUGCUUAGAUAUCAGGAGGAACAUCGGUGGCGUAAGCGCUUUACUGGGCCGUAAUUGACGCUGAGGAACGAAAGCCAGGGUAGCAAAUGGGAUUAGAUACCCCUGUAGUC